This is a non-coding RNA of Ciona intestinalis (vase tunicate), 650 nucleotides long. The record is from RefSeq and is a predicted model, not a curated record. NCBI's taxonomy places the organism in Eukaryota, Metazoa, Chordata, Ascidiacea, Phlebobranchia, Cionidae.
UCUGGUUUAACAAAAAAAUUGUACCAAGAUUAGAAUAAUAUUAAUAAGAAUGUUGGGCUCCUAAACAAACAAACCGAAUUAAAGAUAUACGUUUCUAUAUAUUCUUUUCGUCGCCCGUGUGCUUUAAGUCAAGACAGUACACUCAUGUUCUUUAAACUGAACUGCGAUAGGCCUACAAAGUAUGGCAAUCAACAUCGACAAGGGGUAAGCGAUACAUGAUCACGCUUUCGUAUGUAAAAAGCAAUCGGCUUUCCUGUUAUUCAAGUCUGCGCAUUUUCAAUCACUUUAUAAAUGAAUACUAUCUUCCUAAAUAGUUAAAUUCACUCAAAUAAAGUGCGAUGUUCAGACGGUCAAUCUAUUUAGUGUAUGUCGUUGUGUUUUGUUUAAUACAGAUCUCGGAAUCGACAUUUGCGAGGAGAAGACUAUUACUGGACAAUCCUCCAAGCUUGCGGAUAAGUUCAUAUGAGGAUAAAUAUAACCCUUCAAUCCAGGAAGAUAUAUUGCAAAGUGAUUUAACAACGAUGUGUGUUUCGCAUCCGUGUGAUUAAUUGUUUUGUAAAGAUCCCUUGUCGGUUAUGACGUCAAAGAAUAUGCAUAAGAACUUAAGUGUAAUGCAUUUAGAAAUAAAUAAAACCCGGGUAUAUAAGUUG